RNAcentral lists this unclassified non-coding RNA (404 nucleotides) under Bombus terrestris (buff-tailed bumblebee). RNAcentral's name for it is "misc RNA ENSBTSG00005020432.1". The record is from RNAcentral. Lineage: Eukaryota; Metazoa; Arthropoda; Insecta; Hymenoptera; Apidae.
AACGAAUAUUAAAUGAUAGGAAUGAUUAAAAAAUCUCGCAAAGUAUCAAACGAGAGUGUCUUCUUUUUUAUUGAAUUAUAUAUAAUUCGUUUUUGGAAAAUAUGAUAUAUAUAUGUAUAUAAUAUAACAAGAAAUAUAAUUAGACUGACAUGAGUUCUAUCAAAUUGUCCGGCUCUCUAUGAUGUUGUGCAUCUUUGGGUUGGUAGUAUAGCUCUUUUGUUUCCACCAUACGAUUCCUAAUUUCAUUCACCUUCUCGGUCACCUUCGUGAUGCAUAUGCAUACGAAUUCUUCAAUUCGUCGACAAGAAACGACCUGAAGAUAUCCUGUACAGAAAUCUCAGUCCAAAUGAAAACUCUAAAUUAUAAUAUUAAGCAUAAAGGCACAGCCAUCGUUUACUCUUGUU